AUUCUGCCCCAGUGACCUGGAUCCUGACUCUACCACUUCUUCCUUGCACAGUCACUAGGGAAGGACUCUGGCAGCAGAGCCGCGCUGUCGUGCCCCAGCCAGCCAGGCUCUCCUGGGAUCUGGGUUGGAAGGGGCUGCCGAGACCAUCAGUCUAAUCUUUGGUCUACAGGUGGGGAAACUGAGGCUCAAGGAAGGUCAGUGGGGGGCCAGAAGGGACCUCGUGUGUGAGAUCUGGAAGCGGGAAUUGGAGCAGCAGUUUCAUUCUGCUUCAGCUCAGGAAGCGUCUGCGGUUCCCCCACCGCUGUAAGCCAGGUUCCCCCUCCAGGCUGCUGGGCUGGGACUGAGUCACUUCUUCCCAGGCUGUAAAUCCUGGGACUGCUGUGCAAGGCAGAGUCACUAGGGACGGACUCAGGCAGCAGAGCUGCGCUCUCAUGCCCCAGCCAGCCAGGCUGUCCUGGGAUCUGGGCUGGAAGGGGCUGCCGAGACCAUCAGUCUAAUCUUUGGUCUACAGGUUGGGAAACUGAGGCUCAAGGAAGGUUCUGCGUCCUGCU
This 551-nucleotide small RNA is filed under the name Pan troglodytes (chimpanzee). RNAcentral describes it as "processed transcript". The record is from RNAcentral. Lineage: Eukaryota; Metazoa; Chordata; Mammalia; Primates; Hominidae.